Molecule: ribosomal RNA, 429 nt
Filed under: Chloroflexota bacterium
Lineage: Bacteria; Bacillati; Chloroflexota
Description: Chloroflexi bacterium partial 16S ribosomal RNA
Rfam family: Bacterial small subunit ribosomal RNA
Source: RNAcentral
UGGGGAAUAUUGCACAAUGGGCGCAAGCCUGAUGCAGCCAUGCCGCGUGUAUGAAGAAGGCCUUCGGGUUGUAAAGUACUUUCAGUCGGGAGGAAGGUGGUAAGGUUAAUAACCUUAUCAAUUGACGUUACCGACAGAAGAAGCACCGGCUAACUCCGUGCCAGCAGCCGCGGUAAUACGGAGGGUGCAAGCGUUAAUCGGAAUUACUGGGCGUAAAGCGCACGCAGGCGGUUGAUUGAGUCAGAUGUGAAAUCCCCGGGCUUAACCCGGGAAUUGCACCUGAUACUGGUCAGCUAGAGUCUUGUAGAGGGGGGUAGAAUUCCAUGUGUAGCGGUGAAAUGCGUAGAGAUGUGGAGGAAUACCGGUGGCGAAGGCGGCCCCCUGGACAAAGACUGACGCUCAGGUGCGAAAGCGUGGGGAGCAAACAGG